Molecule: transfer RNA, 88 nt
Filed under: Draconibacterium sp.
Lineage: Bacteria; Pseudomonadati; Bacteroidota; Bacteroidia; Marinilabiliales; Prolixibacteraceae
Also listed under: 1 other name
Description: tRNA-Ser
Rfam family: tRNA
About the family: Transfer RNA (tRNA) molecules are approximately 80 nucleotides in length.
Source: RNAcentral
GGAGAGAUGCAGGAGUGGCUUAACUGGCACGCCUGGAAAGCGUGUGUACUGCAAAACGGUACCGAGGGUUCGAAUCCCUCUCUCUCCG